CGUAGGGGGCAAGCGUUGUCCGGAUUUAUUGGGCGUAAAGCGCGUGUAGGCGGCCAGGUAGGUCUGCUGUGAAAACUCGAGGCUCAACCUCGAGCUGUCGGCGGAAACCAUCUGGCUAGAGUCCGGAAGAGGAGAGUGGAAUUCCUGGUGUAGCGGUGAAAUGCGCAGAUAUCAGGAAGAACACCUAUGGCGAAGGCAGCUCUCUGGGACGGUACUGACGCUGAGACGCGAAAGCGUGGGGAGCGAACAGGAUUAGAUACCCUGGUAGUCCACGCCGUAAACGAUGGGUGCUAGGUGUGGGCGGUGUCGACUCCGUCCGUGCCGAAGCUAACGCAUUAAGCACCCCGCCUGGGGAGUACGGCCGCAAGGCUA
Molecule: ribosomal RNA, 372 nt
Filed under: uncultured organism
Description: bacterial SSU rRNA
Rfam family: Bacterial small subunit ribosomal RNA
Source: RNAcentral